CACGUAGGGGGCGAGCGUUGUCCGGAAUUACUGGGCGUAAAGGGCGCGCAGGCUGUUAUGCGAGUCUGCUGUGAAAUGUACCGGCUCAACCGGUGCCUUGCGGCGGAUACUGCAUAGCUGGAGUACUGGAGAGGGAAGUGGAAUUCCCGGUGUAGCGGUGAAAUGCGUAGAUAUUGGGAAGAACACCGGUGGCGAAGGCGGCUUUCUGGACUGUAACUGACACUGAGGCACGAAAGCGUGGGGAGCAAACAGGAUUAGAUACCCGGGUAGU
Molecule: ribosomal RNA, 271 nt
Filed under: uncultured prokaryote
Description: partial 16S ribosomal RNA
Rfam family: Bacterial small subunit ribosomal RNA
Source: RNAcentral